UUGACCUUAGAGAAAUGUUAGAGAUACACUCUAGCUAACACACUCCUCUAACAUACUCCAAUAAUAAGUUGCCAAGUCACUCACUUUUUUAUUAAUGUUACUUGAUAACUGGUUGUACCAGUUUUCUUUUCUUUUUCUUUCAUUUUUUUUUUUUUAUAAAAGCCAUUGUUUUCUCCUCUGACCUUUGUCUUCUCCCAAGCUCGGUUUGUCUUUCAGAUCGCUUUUCACCAUUGUCUUCUCCCAAGCUCUUCUGACCUUUGGAGAUUUUUGGGUUAAUAGUGUUUUUCACCCUUGUAAUAUAGGUUAUAUUCGUAAUUUUUUUUCUUCCGGAAAACACCCUUCACCCAUCCAACUCAGCAGAUUCGUUUAUGUGGCACUUACUGAUUUUUUUUUUCAUUUUUUUUAAUUGGCACCAUAAAAUUUUAUUAUUAAAAUAUCUUAAAUUUAAUUUUUAAAAAUCUCAAAAAUAAUAUUAAUUCAGGAAAAAUAUUUUAUAAAAUUUAAAAAAAAAUUGAAUAUUUUUCUAUAUUUGUAUCCAGAUUUUUUAAAAAUAAAUUUUUUUCCAUAAAUUUUAUUUUGUAGAAAUUUUUUUCGAAAAAAGAUCCGAUUUUAUUUUUAAAUUUUGAAAAUUAAAUUCCAGAAUAUUUUAAUUUCGAAAAAAACCUGAUUAUAUUUUCAGAUUUUUUUUCUAAUUUUUUAAAUUUGAAAAAAAGUUAUAGUUAUUUUAUGAUUUUUGAAAUUUUAGAAAAAAAAAAAUUGGUAAUAAUUGUUUUUAGAAAAAAAAAUCUAAAUACAAACCCAUUUCAAUUUUGUGUUCUCAACAUUUUUGUAUUACAUGUUUUUGAUGGAUUUGUGCUUUGAAUUGCUGUAAUCUUUUUGCAGGUUGGACUGUUUAGUCCUAGAUGUUAAAGAAGACGGUCAUGGUGGCUAUGGAGUCUUAUAAUGUGACGUUGAAGUACAGAGAGGUAGAAGAGGAUGAAAAGCUAAAAUCUAAGCAAACAAAUAAAAAAUAAUUAUAGUGUAUAAAGUUGAACCGAUAACAAGUAAAAGGAAUUAGAAAGUGGAUGACAUAUCAAUUUAUUAUUGGAGUGUGUUAGAGGAUGUGUCACCGGCAUUUCUCUUCUUAAUAAUGCCAACAUAUUGUAGUAGCAAGCACAAAUAAACAACUCUUACAAAUAUAUAGGAGUUGGAAUCAUUCUCACUUUAAGUGCAACAAAAAUUAAAAUCAUACACAUCCAAACAUAAUCAUUGUCAUUGAUCCUCAAUGGUAGUCCAUCCUAGAGUUUGUCAAGACGGGCCCGUUUGUUUUAGAUUCUACAAAAAUGAAUUUUUCUUUGUAUCUUUAAAAACAGAUUUUUUUUGAAGUUUACUUAAAAAUAGUAAAAGUUAUUUCAAACUCAAUCUAUGUAAUCAUUCUGACUUUAAAAAUAAACUGAUGUUAA
This 1442-nucleotide long non-coding RNA is filed under the name Medicago truncatula (barrel medic). Its description in RNAcentral is "long non-coding RNA (MTRU_LNC007579)". Lineage: Eukaryota; Viridiplantae; Streptophyta; Magnoliopsida; Fabales; Fabaceae. The record is from RNAcentral.